GCUGGCGGCAGGCCUAACACAUGCAAGUCGAGCGGUAGCACAGAGAGCUUGCUCUCGGGUGACGAGCGGCGGACGGGUGAGUAAUGUCUGGGAAACUGCCUGAUGGAGGGGGAUAACUACUGGAAACGGUAGCUAAUACCGCAUAAUGUCGCAAGACCAAAGUGGGGGACCUUCGGGCCUCAUGCCAUCAGAUGUGCCCAGAUGGGAUUAGCUAGUAGGUGGGGUAACGGCUCACCUAGGCGACGAUCCCUAGCUGGUCUGAGAGGAUGACCAGCCACACUGGAACUGAGACACGGUCCAGACUCCUACGGGAGGCAGCAGUGGGGAAUAUUGCACAAUGGGCGCAAGCCUGAUGCAGCCAUGCCGCGUGUGUGAAGAAGGCCUUCGGGUUGUAAAGCACUUUCAGCGGGGAGGAAGGCGAUAAGGUUAAUAACCUUGUCGAUUGACGUUACCCGCAGAAGAAGCACCGGCUAACUCCGUGCCAGCAGCCGCGGUAAUACGGAGGGUGCAAGCGUUAAUCGGAAUUACUGGGCGUAAAGCGCACGCAGGCGGUCUGUCAAGUCGGAUGUGAAAUCCCCGGGCUUAACCUGGGAACUGCAUUCGAAACUGGCAGGCUAGAGUCUUGUAGAGGGGGGUAGAAUUCCAGGUGUAGCGGUGAAAUGCGUAGAGAUCUGGAGGAAUACCGGUGGCGAAGGCGGCCCCCUGGACAAAGACUGACGCUCAGGUGCGAAAGCGUGGGGAGCAAACAGGAUUAGAUACCCUGGUAGUCCACGCCGUAAACGAUGUCGAUUUGGAGGUUGUGCCCUUGAGGCGUGGCUUCCGGAGCUAACGCGUUAAAUCGACCGCCUGGGGAGUACGGCCGCAAGGUUAAAACUCAAAUGAAUUGACGGGGGCCCGCACAAGCGGUGGAGCAUGUGGUUUAAUUCGAUGCAACGCGAAGAACCUUACCUGGUCUUGACAUCCACAGAACUUUCCAGAGAUGGAUUGGUGCCUUCGGGAACUGUGAGACAGGUGCUGCAUGGCUGUCGUCAGCUCGUGUUGUGAAAUGUUGGGUUAAGUCCCGCAACGAGCGCAACCCUUAUCCUUUGUUGCCAGCGGUUAGGCCGGGAACUCAAAGGAGACUGCCAGUGAUAAACUGGAGGAAGGUGGGGAUGACGUCAAGUCAUCAUGGCCCUUACGACCAGGGCUACACACGUGCUACAAUGGCAUAUACAAAGAGAAGCGACCUCGCGAGAGCAAGCGGACCUCAUAAAGUAUGUCGUAGUCCGGAUUGGAGUCUGCAACUCGACUCCAUGAAGUCGGAAUCGCUAGUAAUCGUAGAUCAGAAUGCUACGGUGAAUACGUUCCCGGGCCUUGUACACACCGCCCGUCACACCAUGGGAGUGGGUUGCAAAAGAAGUAGGUAGCUUAACCUUCGGGAGGGCGCUUACCACUUUGUGAUUCAUGACUGGGGUGAAG
RNAcentral lists this ribosomal RNA (1458 nucleotides) under uncultured organism. RNAcentral describes it as "SSU rRNA". It matches the Rfam family "Bacterial small subunit ribosomal RNA". The record is from RNAcentral.